GGGCUGAGUAAGAAGAGAAGGAGAGGGAUUGGCACUCUGGCAUCAAAGAAAAAACCACACAGCCCUGGAAGAGAGAGUGAGCACUGAUAAAGCAAACCACAGAAAGGUCCCCAGCAAUCUCACCCCAGAGCCCUCAUCCCCCCCCCAAGAGCCCUGCCAGGGCUGGAAUCAGCCCUGACAGGGAUCAUUUUCUGGUAUUUAUCCUCUGAAGAAUGGUGUCACCUCCAAAGCGCCUUUAAAGAGUGCUGUCCUUUCUAUUUAUCUCCUUGGAAUCUAACCAGGAUUUCCUGGGAGAUAAAUUGGCUUGAGUUGAAACUGCUUCAUAAGUCACAGUAGUGAUUUAACAGUACAGGAGAUGACAGACCAGUGCUUUGGGCCACUUUCCAGCAUUAAAGAUUUAUUAGCAGAGGUAUCCUAAUACAUCACAUAGUGCAGAGCUACCUCAGAAGUUCUCUGUCAGAAUAGCAAAGUAUAUUCACAAAGCAGAUGUGCUGCAUGGCUCGAGGUCCAGGCUGUGCUCUCUAAACUGGACUCAUUUCUGUGGUUUCGGGAAGUCAGCUGUCCAGUGAGAGCCAGCAGUGCUCUUGACCCUGCCACCUCUGGUAUAACCCUGGCUGCUCCUCCACUGCUUUUGUUAUUCCUAAUUUCUCAAAGGAGCAAUAGGCAACUUGUAAGACGAUCUGACAGCUCAAAGAUCCUUGGAAAAAGAGAAGGCAAAGGACCAUGUUCCCCAGGACUGCAGAGCAUGGCCAAGGAAUUCCAGCAGCUCCCACAGGCCUUAACUGUGGAAAAACUCUCCAUGGAACUAGACAGUGCACAAGCACAGAGGAAGAUACUGAAGAGUAUGCAAUCAAAUAAAGCAACAUUACGAUGCCUUUUAUUAGCUACAGGAGAGAUGGCUAAGGAAUCAACUACAUUAAGAUCAUGCUUAUCCCAAAUCUACGAGGUUGCAUUUGCAGUCUCUUCUUGACACUCUAUCUUGUAAAGAGCACUUGCAUUAAAUAAACCAUAUUAUGAAGUAUGAGACAAUACCAAGUAUGUUAAUUCAACUGAAAAAAAUCAAUAUGAGAACUAAACAAAAGACUGUGUUUGACUCUGCCUGUUGAUAAAACCAGCUAUUUCCUUAAUCCUUUUAGGGUGUGAAAGUUUUUUUUUUCUCUUUUUUUUCUUUUUUUUUUUCUUUCCAUCACAGGCUUUUCUCAUGUAAAUAGUCUUGUAGAAAAAAUAAAUUGAAGCUGAAAUCAGGUAGACAUAUUCUCAACUCUGAUGAUGCAGAAAUUACCGUGAAUGUUUUCAAAGGUCUGCUAAACCAUGCAAAGGCUGUUUUGAUAUUUUGAUUAUAUGUUCAUCUGAUCUGGUAAUAAUAUAAUGAAAACAGUGUUUAAUGAUGCAUUUGUAACUUGAACACUUCAUAAUCAAAACAGGUCAGUGGGGUAUAGGACUAGAUGCUCAGCCAUUUGUGAGAGAUGCCACAACCUAUACUGUAAUUUACAAUACAUCUGCCUUUGUACAGAGUGUGAGAAAAUCAGGGAGGCAGAUUUUUGGCACAUUUUGCCUAGUAAGCAUGGCACUGUAUAUGUAAAAAUAAUUGGGUGUGGAGGAAAAAGUAUUAUUUACUUUAUUCCAGAGAACUAAAUAAAAGAUAUUGUUCUGAGUGGGCAAAAUGAAAGAUGUGUCAUAUACACAUACAGAUGGUGCUGGAUAUGUUACUGUCAGUCUGCUCACUGAUGCCCUCCCAGAUGUCAGUGGGGAUCUCUGCUGUUUUCUUAACCUGUGAGGCUGGGAAGUAUCAGCUGCUCUUACAUUCAUUUUCAGCCCCAGCCUUUGUUCACAG
Molecule: long non-coding RNA, 1834 nt
Organism: Gallus gallus (chicken)
Lineage: Eukaryota; Metazoa; Chordata; Aves; Galliformes; Phasianidae
Source: Ensembl